UAGGGAAUCUUCCACAAUGGACGCAAGUCUGAUGGAGCAACGCCGCGUGAGUGAAGAAGGUUUUCGGAUCGUAAAGCUCUGUUGUUGGUGAAGAAGGAUAGAGGUAGUAACUGGCCUUUAUUUGACGGUAAUCAACCAGAAAGUCACGGCUAACUACGUGCCAGCAGCCGCGGUAAUACGUAGGUGGCAAGCGUUGUCCGGAUUUAUUGGGCGUAAAGCGAGCGCAGGCGGAAGAAUAAGUCUGAUGUGAAAGCCCUCGGCUUAACCGAGGAACUGCAUCGGAAACUGUUUUUCUUGAGUGCAGAAGAGGAGAGUGGAAUUCCAUGUGUAGCGGUGGAAUGCGUAGAUAUAUGGAAGAACACCAGUGGCGAAGGCGACUCUCUGGUCUGCAACUGACGCUGAGGCUCGAAAGCAUGGGUAGCGUACAGG
Molecule: ribosomal RNA, 429 nt
Filed under: bacterium
Lineage: Bacteria
Description: partial 16S ribosomal RNA
Rfam family: Bacterial small subunit ribosomal RNA
Source: RNAcentral